GAUAGUAUUGAUUGUUUUGUGAACCACUCAUAUUGGGAUUGCAAAUAAAAUGGGUGGUUUUCUUUGAUGGUAGAUUUUAUUCUAUUGACCUAGCAGACAAAAUGCAAGUUGUGGGAUUUAGUUUCUUGAUUGUAUGAAUUUAUUUCGUUGCCAUCAAGGAAGUGGUUUCUUACCUAAAAGAUAUAGGAGAUUCUUUGUGUAUCACCAAGCAAACCUAUUAGUAUCAAAUUG
This 231-nucleotide long non-coding RNA is filed under the name Prunus persica (peach). RNAcentral's name for it is "long non-coding RNA (PPER_LNC006422)". Lineage: Eukaryota; Viridiplantae; Streptophyta; Magnoliopsida; Rosales; Rosaceae. The record is from RNAcentral.